This 687-nucleotide long non-coding RNA is filed under the name Mus pahari (shrew mouse). RNAcentral describes it as "predicted gene 16081 (MGP_PahariEiJ_G0006041.1)". The record is from RNAcentral. Lineage: Eukaryota; Metazoa; Chordata; Mammalia; Rodentia; Muridae.
UUUUUAGAACUUCAACUGUGGAAAAAAAUCAUAGUCUGUUCAUCAGCUUCACGCCAGCCUUGUGGUCUUUCUCAGCUUCAAGGAUCUGUGUGAGUGAAUUGGCCUCAGAAAGACAGUGAAGCAUGAGCUCAUCUUCACCACAUCUGCUCAGCACACUUCAUUGUGUAAGGCAUCCUAUUCACAGAGUCCAAGGACUAGGAAUGGACAGCUUCAGAGGCCACCGUUCUGUCUCCCACAGACCUGAUCUCCCUCAGGCUGUGCAGACUAGUUUGCUGGGAUUAUUAUGCAUUGCGCACAUGAGCUUUUCAUAAUAAUUUGUAUUGAUUAUUUAUGAAUUUCCAAUCACGAACCCUGAACACAAUCACUUUCCAGUCCUCCCAGGUCUGUCCCCUACUCUUGUGACCUCCCACCCCUAAAAAAGAAGAAUAAAAAGAAAAAGAAAUCCAAUGAGUCUAAUUUGUGAGUAAUACUUACUCACUGGAGCAUGGUAAAACUUCUGCUGGCCAGCCACUGAAAGAAAACUGAGUCCCCAUCCCCUGACUCCCAACACCCCUGCCAUCAAUUGUGGAGAGCUAUAUUUCAGCAUCUAUAUCACAGUUUUUAAGAGUUCUCUUUGGUGGCUGUCUCAGCUGUUACUUUUGGAGAGUGGAGUUGAGGUGGAGAUAGCUGUUACAGAAGCCUCCUAUG